This 503-nucleotide ribosomal RNA is filed under the name uncultured bacterium. RNAcentral's name for it is "partial 16S ribosomal RNA". It matches the Rfam family "Bacterial small subunit ribosomal RNA", at positions 30 to 523 of the family's 1533-position model. The record is from RNAcentral.
AUUGAACGCUGGCGGCGGGCUUAACACAUGCAAGUCGAGCGGAGUGAUGGUGCUUGCACUAUCACUUAGCGGCGGACGGGUGAGUAAUGCUUAGGAAUCUGCCUAUUAGUGGGGGACAACAUCUCGAAAGGGAUGCUAAUACCGCAUACGUCCUACGGGAGAAAGCAGGGGAUCACUUGUGACCUUGCGCUAAUAGAUGAGCCUAAGUCGGAUUAGCUAGUUGGUGGGGUAAAGGCCUACCAAGGCGACGAUCUGUAGCGGGUCUGAGAGGAGGAUCAGCCACACUGGGACUGGAAGAAGGCCCAGACUCCUACGGGAGGCAGCAGUGGGGAAUAUUGGAAAAUGGGGGGAACCCUGAUCCAGCCAUGCCGCGUGUGUGAAGAAGGCCUUAUGGUUGUAAAGCACUUUAAGCGAGGAGGAGGCUCUUUUGGUUAAUACCCAAGAUGAGUGGACGUUACUCGCAGAAUAAGCACCGGCUAACUCUGUGCCAGCCGCCGCCGUAA